RNAcentral lists this ribosomal RNA (428 nucleotides) under uncultured Bacillota bacterium. RNAcentral describes it as "bacterial SSU rRNA". It matches the Rfam family "Bacterial small subunit ribosomal RNA", at positions 964 to 1382 of the family's 1533-position model. The record is from RNAcentral. Lineage: Bacteria; Bacillati; Bacillota.
AAGAACCUUACCAGGUCUUGACAUACCAUUGACCGGUCUAGAGAUUAGACUUUUCGCUUUCGGGCGACAAUGGAUACAGGUGGUGCAUGGUUGUCGUCAGCUCGUGCCGUGAGGUGUUGGGUUAAGUCCCGCAACCGAGACGCAACCCCCUAUUGAUAGUUGCUAAUAUUAAGUUUAAGGACUCUAUUGAGACUGCCAGCGACAAGCUGGAGGAAGGUGGGGGAUGACGUCAAAUCAUCAUGCCCUUUAUGACCUGGGCUACAAACGUACUACAAUGGCCAGAUACAAAGAGAUGCGAAGCCGCGAGGUGGAGCGAACCUCAUAAAAAUGGUCUCAGUUCGGAUUGGAGUCUGCAACUCGACUCCAUGAAGUCGGAAUCGCUAGUAAUCGCGGGUCAGCAGACCGCGGUGAAUACGUUCCCGGGCCUU